GAUGAAGAACGUAGCGAAAUGCGAUAAGUAAUGUGAAUUGCAGAAUUCAGUGAAUCAUCGAAUCUUUGAACGCACAUUGCGCCCGCCAGUAUUCUGGCGGGCAUGCCUGUUCGAGCGUCAUUUCAACCAUCAAGCCCCCGGCUUGUGUUGGGGACCUGCGGCUGCCGCAGGCCCUGAAAACCAGUGGCGGGCUCGCUAGUCACUCCGAGCGUAGUAGCAUACAUCUCGCUCUGGGCGUGCUGCGGGUUCCGGCCGUUAAACCACCUUUUAACCCAAGGUUGACCUCGGAUCAGGUAGGAAGACCCGCUGAACUUAAGCAUAUCAAUAAGCGGAGGA
This 336-nucleotide unclassified non-coding RNA is filed under the name soil metagenome. RNAcentral's name for it is "partial contains 5.8S ribosomal RNA, internal transcribed spacer 2, and large subunit ribosomal RNA". The stretch from base 1 to 120 matches the Rfam family "5.8S ribosomal RNA", at positions 35 to 154 of the family's 154-position model. The record is from RNAcentral.